AGAGUUUGAUCAUGGCUCAGGACGAACGCUGGCGGCAUGCCUAACACAUGCAAGUCUAGGGGUAGCAAUACCACUGGCGCACGGGUGAGUAACACGUAGGUUAUCUGCCCCCAUCACAGUGACAACCUCGGGAAACCGAGGCUAAACACUGAUGAGGCCGAGAGGUCAAAGCGAAAGCGGAUGGGGAUGAGCCUGCGGCUGAUUAGCUAGUUGGUGAGGUAAUGGCUCACCAAGGCGACGAUCAGUAGCUGGUCUGAGAGGACGAACAGCCACACUGGAACUGAGACACGGUCCAGACUCCUACGGGAGGCAGCAGUGAGGAAUAUUGGUCAAUGGGCGCAAGCCUGAACCAGCAAUGCCGCGUGUGGGACGACAGGGCUUCGCCUUGUAAACCACUGUCGGAUGGGACGAAAAGGAGUAUGAACUCCUGGGACGGUACCAUCAAAGGAAGGGUCGGCUAACUACGUGCCAGCAGCCGCGGUAAUACGUAGGACCCGAGCGUUGUCCGGAUUUACUGGGUAUAAAGGGUGCGUAGGCGGUCUUGUGCGUCAGAGGUGAAAUAUCCGGGCUUAACCCGGAGGGUGCCUUUGAUACGGCAGGACUUGAGUGCGAGAGAGGAUGAUGGAAUUCCUGGUGUAGCGGUGAAAUGCGUAGAUAUCAGGAGGAACACCGGUGGCGAAGGCGGUCAUCUGGCUCGUAACUGACGCUGAGGCACGAAAGCGCGGG
This 726-nucleotide ribosomal RNA is filed under the name uncultured Bacteroidota bacterium. Its description in RNAcentral is "bacterial SSU rRNA". It matches the Rfam family "Bacterial small subunit ribosomal RNA", at positions 8 to 765 of the family's 1533-position model. The record is from RNAcentral. Lineage: Bacteria; Pseudomonadati; Bacteroidota.